GACGAACGCUGGCGGCGUGCUUAACACAUGCAAGUCGAACGGAAAGGCCCCUUUGGGGGUACUCGAGUGGCGAACGGGUGAGUAACACGUGAGUAACCUGCCCUUGACUUCGGGAUAACUUCAGGAAACUGGGGCUAAUACCGGAUAGGAAUCCUUGCUGCAUGGUGGGGGUUGGAAAGCUUCGGCGGUUUUGGAUGGACUCGCGGCUUAUCAGCUUGUUUGUGGGGUAGUGGCUUACCAAGGCUUUGACGGGUAGCCGGCCUGAGAGGGCGACCGGCCACAUUGGGACUGAGAUACGGCCCAGAGUCCUACGGGAGGCAGCAGUGGGGAAUAUUGCACAAUGGGCGGAAGCCUGAUGCAGCAACGCCGCGUGCGGGAUGACGGCCUUCGGGUUGUAAACCGCUUUCAGCAGGGGCGAAGCUUGUGGUGACGGUACCUGCAGAAGAAGCAACGGCUAACUACGUG
Molecule: ribosomal RNA, 465 nt
Filed under: uncultured bacterium
Lineage: Bacteria
Description: partial 16S ribosomal RNA
Rfam family: Bacterial small subunit ribosomal RNA
Source: RNAcentral